UGUGUUAAAAAAAACGUAAGUGGAAACACUGCUUUGAAGUUUUCAAAAUUCCAGGGCCGUAAAACAAUCUCAAAAAAAAAAAAGUUUUCAAAAUGUCGUAACGAUUUAAUUUUUUAAAUCGUUUUUUUUUGGUCUUGGUAAUGUUUAUUAUUAAAAAUCAGCAUGCCUCGAAGAUCGAAAAUGAAAUGCUAUUUCGGAUGCCUUGAUAACGACAAAGGUUUGAUAAUGACAAAAUUUUAUGGAAAAAUUAUAAGGAGCACUAAAAUGUCUGAAACAUGAAAAGAUUGAUGCACUAUAUUUGAACCAGAACGUGUUAUGUAAUAUAUUAAUUUAAGAGAAACUGAUUCAGCAAGGAACGUGAACUCUCAAGGGAUCUUAUUUUUUUUUAAAUAUGUUUAUAAUUGAUAAAUUAAUAAUUGAAAUAGUUCAUAAGAACUAAAUUGAUGCCAAUUUUGUUUUAAAAUAGGUUGUUUAGUUCUUAUAGUUAUAGUAUUACGUUUGAAUAGUUGUAAUUAGUAAGUUAGUAAUAUAUGAAAAUACUGAUAUAAAUUUUUGUAAAUAACCUUUUGUAAAUUCUACGAGAAGAUGAUUUUAAUUAAUGAUCAAAAGUCAACGGUCUUUAAAAGCAUUAUUUGCAAUUAUUUAGAUUUACUGUGGAAUAUAUUUGCUAAGUUGUGUUUUCUGUAUGAGCAGAUAUAAAAGAAAAUGCCCAAACAUGAUUACGUUUCUUACAUUUUCAUUAUGUGAAAUCAAUAUGCUUGUGACUGAGUAUAUUAAUAAUUUAUUAAAACUUAAGUGAUAGACAGCAACCCCUAUGGCACUGCUGAAGUUUAUAAGCACUGGUGACCACUUAUCAUGGGCCGGAUUGCGUGCUCGUCUGCUGUUGUCUAUGGUUGACGGCAUAGAUUAUACACUUAAUAUAUUUGAGAUAGAUGCGCAACUCUCAUUUUUAUUUUUGCUUUAGUUAGAGCCCGGGACAGCAGGCGUCGCUGCUGUCGAUUAUUAGUCUCCCUACCCCCCACCAGGUGGCUUUUUUAGUAAUUUUAAUAUUUUUUAUAAUUAACUCUCUUUAUGAAAAAAUCUUAUCGUUUAGAAUCGCUGAAAUUCCCGGUAGUACUUAUGAAAUAUUAAAGAGCGUUUGAUUGUGUUCAGCAUUCUAAUCGAUAAGACCUUUUCAUACAGAGAGAAAACAGUUUUUUUAAAUAAAAAGCUGUAAUUCUCUGUAAGCUAUUUAAUUUCCCUAUAUUACAAACAAUUUACUGUUAAAAGAUAGUAUGAACGUACAAUUGUAUAAAAUUUCGAAUAACAAUAACUCCUCUAGAUUAAUCCUACUAGAGUACUUAAUAACAUUAAAUCGAAAGUUAUCUAAAAGUUAAUUAAGUCUAGAUAAUCAAAUCAUUCAAUGUCACUUAAGUCAUUUGUGCGAAAUAUAAACAUGUCAGCUUUCCAUUACAAACAUAGUAGACAAUUUGAAUUAAAUUUAAUAAAUUUGUUUCUUAACUAUA
Long non-coding RNA from Bombyx mori (domestic silkworm), 1505 nucleotides. RefSeq lists it as uncharacterized. The transcript is spliced from 4 exons. NCBI's taxonomy places the organism in Eukaryota, Metazoa, Arthropoda, Insecta, Lepidoptera, Bombycidae. The record is from RefSeq and is a predicted model, not a curated record.